This 465-nucleotide ribosomal RNA is filed under the name uncultured bacterium. Its description in RNAcentral is "partial 16S ribosomal RNA". It matches the Rfam family "Bacterial small subunit ribosomal RNA", at positions 28 to 507 of the family's 1533-position model. The record is from RNAcentral.
GACGAACGCUGGCGGCGUGCUUAACACAUGCAAGUCGAACGGUAAGGCUCCAGCUUGCUGGGGUACACGAGUGGCGAACGGGUGAGUAACACGUGGGUGACCUGCCCUGCACUUCGGGAUAAGCCUGGGAAACUGGGUCUAAUACCGGAUAGGACCGCACCGUGAGGGUGUGGUGGAAAGUUUUUUCGGUGUGGGAUGGGCCCGCGGCCUAUCAGCUUGUUGGUGGGGUAAUGGCCUACCAAGGCGGCGACGGGUAGCCGGCCUGAGAGGGUGGACGGCCACAUUGGGCCUGAGAGACGGACCAGACUCCUACGGGAGGCAGCAGUGGGGAAUAUUGCACAAUGGGCGGAAGCCUGAUGCAGCGACGCCGCGUGGGGGAUGACGGCCUUCGGGUUGUAAACUCCUUUCACCAUCGACGAAGGGUUUCUGACGGUAGAUGGAGAAGAAGCACCGGCUAACUACGUG